AGCCCAGCAGAGAGGGAGACUGAGGCAGGGAUGUUGUAGGGACACCCCAAGGGGAUGUUCAGAGGAAGUGACACUAUUACAGGGAGAGAAAUAUAAAAAGGAGGAGACUUAAUCUAAGUGACAAGCCAUGAAAAUGACUUAGCAACAGCUUUUUGAAUGAUGAUGAUGUCAAGUACAGAUAGAUGCAGGUUACAGUAGUUAAAACUAACACUGUAUUGUAAAUAGUUUGUCCACAUCUAACAAAAAAGGAUCACAGUGUUAUACUUUGCAAAUGUCAGCAACUUUUGUAAUAUUUCAUACUGCAACACCUUCCAAGAACGCUAAUAGGUUCUUCUCAUAAGCUUAUUCUUUCACUCUACAAAGAAUGGAAUUAUAUGAGGGCAUAAUGAGGAAGGAUGUGGCUGUGACUUGUGGGCCAUUUUAUGAGCUGCACAGUUGCCAUGGGGGAGACUCUGCAAGCAUCUGAAAAUUUGGUAGGAGGGCGUAGUAUUGAGUGAAGACUAGCUCCUACAAAGUGAAAAUCUUCUGCACAGGCUUCGUACCAAGACUUUUUUCUAUUGCCUUCCUCUGGAAAUCUGCCUACUCAAAAGCGCUUAAGAUAUCCAAGUCAGCUACCUGGGAUGAAAUCCUGGCCCUGAUGAAAAUCUUGCAUUGAGUUCCUUGGGGCCAGGGUUUCUCCCUUUUGUUUUACAAAUAAGAACAAGAACAUGGAUCUAUGGAUUUUUAAACUAAUAAUACAAAACUACAUAUGUAUAAGUAACAAAUUACAGACAAGCUGCAUACUAUCAAAUUCUUCACAAAAAUAAAAUCCUGAAGGGCCCUGUUCUCCUCAACUAAUGAUCCCUUGUGAUCCCAUGUACUGGUGCCUUUUACUUCUUUCUCUUUAGAUAAGACACAAAUGCAUCCCUUAGCACAUGAAAUUCCUUGAUUUUUGUCAUUAAUGUGCAUUUGAAGCAAUUUCAUUACUAAUCUCCUAACAGUGGGGCACAAAAGCUUUUCAGCCUCCUAAGGAUCAAUCUCUUUGAACAUCCAUAGAUAGUUGCAGUCCUGUGUCCCGAUGAAAAGUCAUGUAACAAAUGUAGUUCUGAUUCAGCUAGUGACUUAUGAUUCUUGCGUUUCUAUAACACUUGUGUGAAAAUUUCUAAUAUUGUAAUUACUCCCACUCAUUUAACUGUUAUCUCUCAAAGCAAACAUUUCACUUGUAUCCCCAGCUGUUUGAAAGAUUGUCAUGCACAAGUAGGAUCAGACUUUGAGACCUGG
Long non-coding RNA from Mauremys reevesii (Reeves's turtle), 1260 nucleotides. RefSeq lists it as uncharacterized. The transcript has 3 exons. Lineage: Eukaryota; Metazoa; Chordata; Testudines; Geoemydidae. The record is from RefSeq and is a predicted model, not a curated record.